GCGCUGGUAGUAUAGCGGUAGUAUCAUUGGUUUCCAACCAAUUGGUCUGGGUUCAACUCCCAGCCAGCGCA
Molecule: transfer RNA, 71 nt
Filed under: Candidatus Pacearchaeota archaeon
Lineage: Archaea; Nanobdellati
Description: tRNA-Gly
Rfam family: tRNA
About the family: Transfer RNA (tRNA) molecules are approximately 80 nucleotides in length. Their secondary structure includes four short double-helical elements and three loops (D, anti-codon, and T loops).
Source: RNAcentral